Lates calcarifer (barramundi perch) is the source of this 117-nucleotide small nuclear RNA. Its record names the gene U5. It matches the Rfam family "U5 spliceosomal RNA". From Rfam's summary of the family: U5 RNA is a component of both types of known spliceosome. The precise function of this molecule is unknown, though it is known that the 5' loop is required for splice site selection and p220 binding, and that both the 3' stem-loop and the Sm site are important for Sm protein binding and cap methylation. The record is from Ensembl. NCBI's taxonomy places the organism in Eukaryota, Metazoa, Chordata, Actinopteri, Centropomidae.
UGAUUAUGGUUUUUCUUCAUAAAGCACAAGUCUUUUGCCUUUUACUAAAUACUUCCAUGGAGAGGAGCACCAGUGAGUUUAAACUAUUUUUGGCUGGUGAUUUAAAGCAGUUCACUG